This 557-nucleotide ribosomal RNA is filed under the name fungal sp. SNB-GTC2605. Its description in RNAcentral is "LSU rRNA". The stretch from base 223 to 376 matches the Rfam family "5.8S ribosomal RNA". Lineage: Eukaryota; Fungi. The record is from RNAcentral.
UUCCGUAGGUGAACCUGCGGAGGGAUCAUUACUGAGUUACCGCUCUAUAACCCUUUGUGAACAUACCUACAACUGUUGCUUCGGCGGGUAGGCCGUCCCCUGAAAAGGACGCCUCCCGGCCCGGACCGGACCCCCCGCGGGACCGGACCCGGCGCCCGCCGGAGGAUAACCAAACUCUAUUGUAACGACGUUUCUUCUGAGUGGCAUAAGCAAAAUAAUCAAAACUUUUAACAACGGAUCUCUUGGUUCUGGCAUCGAUGAAGAACGCAGCGAAAUGCGAUAAGUAAUGUGAAUUGCAGAAUUCAGUGAAUCAUCGAAUCUUUGAACGCACAUUGCGCCCGCCAGCAUUCUGGCGGGCAUGCCUGUUCGAGCGUCAUUUCAACCCUCAAGCUCUGCUUGGUGUUGGGGCUCUACGGUCGACGUAGGCCCUCAAAGGUAGUGGCGGACCCUCCCGGAGCCUCCUUUGCGUAGUAACAUUUCGUCUCGCACUGGGAUCCGGAGGGACUCUUGCCGUAAAACCCCCCAAUUUUCCAAAGGUUGACCUCGGAUCAGGUAGA